GACGAACGCUGGCGGCGUGCCUAAUACAUGCAAGUCGAGCGGAACCUUUGGAGCUUGCUCCAUUGGUUUAGCGGCGGACGGGUGAGUAACACGUGGGCAACCUGCCCUGCAGAUCGGGAUAACUCCGGGAAACCGGUGCUAAUACCGAAUAGUUUGCGGCCUCUCCUGAGGCUGCGCGGAAAGACGGUUUCGGCUGUCACUGCAGGAUGGGCCCGCGGCGCAUUAGCUAGUUGGUGGGGUAAUGGCCCACCAAGGCGACGAUGCGUAGCCGACCUGAGAGGGUGAUCGGCCACACUGGGACUGAGACACGGCCCAG
This 316-nucleotide ribosomal RNA is filed under the name uncultured bacterium. Its description in RNAcentral is "bacterial SSU rRNA". It matches the Rfam family "Bacterial small subunit ribosomal RNA", at positions 28 to 334 of the family's 1533-position model. The record is from RNAcentral.